GACGAGCGCUGGCGGCGUGCUUAACACAUGCAAGUCGAACGGAAAGGCCCUGCUUUUUUGGUAUGCUCGAGUGGCGAACGGGUGAGUAACACGUGAGUAACCUGCCCUUGACUUUGGGAUAACUUCAGGAAACUGGGGGUAAUACCGGAUAGGAGCUCCUGCUGCAUGGUGGGGGGUGGAAAGUUUCGGCGGUUGGGGAUGGACUCGCGGCUUAUCAGCUUGGUGGUGGGGUAGGGGCUUACCAAGGCUUUGACGGGUAGCCGGCCUGAGAGGGUGACCGGCCACGUUGGGACUGAGAUACGGCACAGCCUCCUCCGGGAGGCAGCAGUGGGGAAUAUUGCACAAUGGGAGGAAGCCUGAUGCAGCCACGCCGCGUGCGGGAUGACGGCCUUCGGGUUGUAACCCGAUUCCGCCUGUGACGAAGCGUGAGUGACGGUAAUGGGUAAAGAAGCACCGGCUAACUACGUG
RNAcentral lists this ribosomal RNA (468 nucleotides) under uncultured bacterium. Its description in RNAcentral is "partial 16S ribosomal RNA". It matches the Rfam family "Bacterial small subunit ribosomal RNA", at positions 28 to 507 of the family's 1533-position model. The record is from RNAcentral.